CAUCCUGGGGCUGGAGCAGGUCCCAAGGGUUCGACUGUUCGUCGAUUAAAGUGGUACGCGAGCUGGGUUCAGACCGGCGUGAGCCAGGUCGGUCCCUAUCUGUCGUGGGCGUUCCAAGUUUGAGAGGAGUCAUCCUUAGUACGAGAGGAUUGGGAUGGACACACCCCUGGUGAUCCAGUUGGCCCGCUCGGGCCACCGCUGGGUAGCUACGUGUGGCAGGGAUAACCGCUGAAAGCAUCUAAGCGGGAAGCCCCCC
This 256-nucleotide ribosomal RNA is filed under the name Isochrysis galbana. RNAcentral's name for it is "partial Bacterial large subunit ribosomal RNA". It matches the Rfam family "Bacterial large subunit ribosomal RNA", at positions 2543 to 2798 of the family's 2925-position model. The record is from RNAcentral. Lineage: Eukaryota; Haptophyta; Isochrysidales; Isochrysidaceae.